RNAcentral lists this ribosomal RNA (649 nucleotides) under Salmonella enterica subsp. enterica serovar Emek. Its description in RNAcentral is "partial 23S ribosomal RNA". It matches the Rfam family "Bacterial large subunit ribosomal RNA", at positions 161 to 749 of the family's 2925-position model. The record is from RNAcentral. Lineage: Bacteria; Pseudomonadati; Pseudomonadota; Gammaproteobacteria; Enterobacterales; Enterobacteriaceae.
AAUCCAUAGGUUAAUGAGGCGAACCGGGGGAACUGAAACAUCUAAGUACCCCGAGGAAAAGAAAUCAACCGAGAUUCCCCCAGUAGCGGCGAGCGAACGGGGAGGAGCCCAGAGCCUGAAUCAGCAUGUGUGUUAGUGGAAGCGUCUGGAAAGGCGCGCGAUACAGGGUGACAGCCCCGUACACAAAAGCGCAUGUGCUGUGAGCUCGAUGAGUAGGGCGGGACACGUGGUAUCCUGUCUGAAUAUGGGGGGACCAUCCUCCAAGGCUAAAUACUCCUGACUGACCGAUAGUGAACCAGUACCGUGAGGGAAAGGCGAAAAGAACCCCGGCGAGGGGAGUGAAAAAGAACCUGAAACCGUGUACGUACAAGCAGUGGGAGCCCCACCACCAAAGCAUUCUCUGGUGUUGAAGGCCCUGCAAAGCAGCAUCGCGGUGGCGGAGCGUCGUUUGCGACGCCCAACACACAAAACAAGCGGUGAGUGCUUUGGGGUGGGGUGACUGCGUACCUUUUGUAUAAUGGGUCAGCGACUUAUAUUCUGUAGCAAGGUUAACCGAAUAGGGGAGCCGGAGGGAAACCGAGUCUUAAUUGGGCGUUAAGUUGCAGGGUAUAGACCCGAAACCCGGUGAUCUAGCCAUGGGCAGGUUGAA